ACCGGGACCGCGGACCCAGCGCCCGUUGACGGCGGUUUCCUCGCUCGCGGGUACCUCCCAAUACGCCUCGAAUCCGCGAAAGUGGUCAAUGCGGACGA
This 98-nucleotide unclassified non-coding RNA is filed under the name plant metagenome. RNAcentral's name for it is "partial contains 5.8S ribosomal RNA, internal transcribed spacer 2, and large subunit ribosomal RNA". The record is from RNAcentral.